Vespula pensylvanica (western yellowjacket) is the source of this 839-nucleotide long non-coding RNA. RefSeq lists it as uncharacterized. The record is from RefSeq and is a predicted model, not a curated record. The transcript has 2 exons. Lineage: Eukaryota; Metazoa; Arthropoda; Insecta; Hymenoptera; Vespidae.
CAUACCCUGAAGAAGAUUGAUUAAAAAUAUUAAUUACAAAUAUUAUUUACGUGUAAAGUACCGAUCGUAAAUGUCAUUCACAUUAUUAUGUGGAUAUAUGCACGUUGUUUCAUACGUAAGAUAUUGUCGUGUCAAAGUAGUCACGUACGCACGUGAGAUGACGAAGAGUAUAGGAUCAAUCAUUAUAUCGUCCUUCGAAUUUAAAUGAAGCCGAAAGAAGAGGGGUCAAGGAAGGAAACCCUUGAGAUUAUUUAUUACUAUUCAAGUCAUUGCUAUUCAAUUUGGUUCUCUUUUCUCUUUCGGAUACAGUCUCAGAUAUAGUUAUAAAGAAACGAAAAGAAAGACGAAGCUUUUGAUAGUGGGUACGAAAAACGUAGUUUAUGAAGCGUGAAGAAAGACAAAAUAAUUUGUAAGAACCGUUAAACGUCGUAAUCUGUUUUUACUGAUAAUCGCGGUCACGUAGAAACAAUUUAUAAUUGUGCACGAAACGACUAUAAAAGUUAACUCAUAGUAUUGUUGUUCAUUGCAAAUAGUCAUCGCCGACGUCGGCGUGUCCAUCGAUUUGACCAAUCAGGUUCUACAUCACCGAGGUUCAACAUUCGUUCGACCAAUCGAAUUGUAAUCAGGCCAUCGCGCCCCUGACCACGCACCAAUGACGCACUUAAGUUGAAACUGGAAAGAACCAGAAGAAAUGGACCGAACUGGACACUACUGGACUUGAACUUUGCUUCAUUUUGCGAUAAACUCACACCAUCGGUAUAUGACGUAAACAGAUUUAUGUAAAAUUGUAUAAUGGAAGAGAAUGGAAAAAAGAUCUUAGGAAGUACGGGUCAAGCAAA